AGUCGAACGAGGUGCUUUUUGGUAGCAAUACGAGAAGUAUCCUAGUGGCGAACGGGUGAGUAACGCGUGGAUGACCUGCCCCAAAGUGUGGGAUAACAGUCCGAAAGGAUUGCUAAUACCUCAUGUGGUUAUUGGGUUUAGAAACUGAUAACUAAAGCAGCAAUGCGCUUUGGGAGGGAUCUGCGUCCCAUCAGCUAGUUGGUGAGGUAAUGGCUCACCAAGGCGACGACGGGUAGGGGACCUGAGAGGGUGGCCCCCCACAAUGGAACUGAAACACGGUCCAUACACCUACGGGUGGCAGCAGUAGGGAAUAUUGCACAAUGGGCGAAAGCCUGAUGCAGCAACGCCGCGUGAGCGAUGAAGGCCUUCGGGUCGUAAAGCUCUUUUCUGAGAGACGAGAUAGGACGGUAUCUCAGGAAUAAGUCUCGGCUAACUACGUGCCAGCAGCCGCGGUAAAACGUAGGAGGCGAGCGUUAUCCGGAUUCACUGGGCGUAAAGCGCGUGCAGGCGGUUCGGUAAGUUGGGCGUGAAAUCUCUUGGCUUAACUAGGAGAGGUCGUUCAAUACUACCGGACUUGAGAGUGAUAGAGGAAAAUGGAAUUCCAGGUGUAGUGGUGAAAUGCGUAGAUAUCUGGAGGAACACCAGUGGCGAAAGCGAUUUUCUGGAUCAUUUCUGACGCUCAGACGCGAAAGCUAGGGUA
Molecule: ribosomal RNA, 700 nt
Filed under: uncultured bacterium
Lineage: Bacteria
Description: bacterial SSU rRNA
Rfam family: Bacterial small subunit ribosomal RNA
Source: RNAcentral